RNAcentral lists this small RNA (167 nucleotides) under Sinorhizobium meliloti 2011. RNAcentral's name for it is "putative ncRNA". Lineage: Bacteria; Pseudomonadati; Pseudomonadota; Alphaproteobacteria; Hyphomicrobiales; Rhizobiaceae. The record is from RNAcentral.
AUGGCGCGAAAUCGCCUUCUGCGGACCGCGAUCCGGUUCCUGCGGAACUUCGGCUGAUCCAGAGCAAUUCCAGGAAAAGUGCGCAGCGGUUUUCCGUCCGGAGUUGCGGCAAAACAAAGGAAUCGAUCACGAUGACCUUAGGUCUGGUCAUCGUGAUCCAGGGAAUC